This 253-nucleotide ribosomal RNA is filed under the name uncultured bacterium. RNAcentral describes it as "partial 16S ribosomal RNA". It matches the Rfam family "Bacterial small subunit ribosomal RNA", at positions 524 to 776 of the family's 1533-position model. The record is from RNAcentral.
UACAGAGGGUGCGAGCGUUAAUCGGAAUUACUGGGCGUAAAGGGCGCGUAGGCGGUGAAUUAAGUUAGAUGUGAAAUCCCUGGGCUUAACCUAGGAACUGCAUCUAAUACUGGUUUGCUAGAGUGCAGUAGAGGGUAGUGGAAUUUCCGGUGUAGCGGUGAAAUGCGCAGAUAUCAGGAGGAACACCCGUAGCGAAGGCGGCACUCUGGGCCGAUACUGACACUGAGGAGCGAAAGCGUGGGGAGCGAACAGG